Molecule: long non-coding RNA, 205 nt
Filed under: Elaeis guineensis (African oil palm)
Lineage: Eukaryota; Viridiplantae; Streptophyta; Magnoliopsida; Arecales; Arecaceae
Description: long non-coding RNA (EGUI_LNC081812)
Source: RNAcentral
UGAUUGUCAUUAUUAUCCAUCUUUUCUUAUGAAUAUUAUUUCUAUAAAUCUUUUGACCAAGGAUGGUUAUAAUUUUUUAGUAAAAAAAAAAAUUUGUGAUAUCAUUAUGAAUGGUUGUUGCUCCUAGAUUGAUUUUGAUGAUUACAAAGCAGAUUGAAGGGAUACAAAUAAUUUUAAAUUGAAAAAGUCCUUAUGCUCUUCAGGG